UAAAAUUGCAGUUGAUACUGUCAGUCUUGAGUACAGUAGAGGUGGGCGGAAUUCGUGGUGUAGCGGUGAAAUGCUUAGAUAUCACGAAGAACUCCGAUUGCGAAGGCAGCUCACUGGACUGCAACUGACACUGAUGCUCGAAAGUGUGGGUAUCAAACAGGAUUAGAUACCCUGGUAGUCCACACAGUAAACGAUGAAUACUCGCUGUUUGCGAUAUACAGUAAGCGGCCAAGCGAAAGCAUUAAGUAUUCCACCUGGGGAGUACGCCGGCAACGGUGAAACUCAAAGGAAUUGACGGGGGCCCGCACAAGCGGAGGAACAUGUGGUUUAAUUCGAUGAUACGCGAGGAACCUUACCCGGGCUUAAAUUGCAGUGGAAUGAUGUGGAAACAUGUCAGUGAGCAAUCACCGCUGUGAAGGUGCUGCAUGGUUGUCGUCAGCUCGUGCCGUGAGGUGUCGGCUUAAGUGCCAUAACGAGCGCAACCCUUAUCUUCAGUUACUAACAGGUCAUGCUGAGGACUCUGGAGAGACUGCCGUCGUAAGAUGUGAGGAAGGUGGGGAUGACGUCAAAUCAGCACGGCCCUUACGUCCGGGGCUACACACGUGUUACAAUGGGGGGUACAGAAGGCAGCUAGCGGGUGACCGUAUGCUAAUCCCAAAAUCCUCUCUCAGUUCGGAUCGAAGUCUGCAACCCGACUUCGUGAAGCUGGAUUCGCUAGUAAUCGCGCAUCAGCCACGGCGCGGUGAAUACGUUCCCGGGCCUUGUACACACCGCCCGUCAAGCCAUGGGAGCCGGNNNNNNCUGAAGUACGUAACCGCAAGGAUCGUCCUAGGGUAAAACUGGUGACUGGGGAUAGGUCGUAACAAGGUAACCA
This 874-nucleotide ribosomal RNA is filed under the name uncultured bacterium. RNAcentral's name for it is "bacterial SSU rRNA". It matches the Rfam family "Bacterial small subunit ribosomal RNA", at positions 616 to 1502 of the family's 1533-position model. The record is from RNAcentral.